GUGGGGAAUAUUGCACAAUGGGCGCAAGCCUGAUGCAGCAACGCCGCGUGAGGGACGACGGCCUUCGGGUUGUAAACCUCUUUUAGUAGGGAAGAAGCGAAAGUGACGGUACCUGCAGAAAAAGCACCGGCUAACUACGUGCCAGCAGCCGCGGUAAUACGUAGGGUGCAAGCGUUAUCCGGAAUUAUUGGGCGUAAAGAGCUCGUAGGCGGUUUGUCGCGUCUGCUGUGAAAACUGGAGGCUCAACCUCCAGCCUGCAGUGGGUACGGGCAGACUAGAGUGCGGUAGGGGAGAUUGGAAUUCCUGGUGUAGCGGUGGAAUGCGCAGAUAUCAGGAGGAACACCGAUGGCGAAGGCAGAUCUCUGGGCCGUAACUGACGCUGAGGAGCGAAAGCAUGGGGAGCGAACAGGAUUAGAUACCCUUGUAGUCC
This 430-nucleotide ribosomal RNA is filed under the name uncultured bacterium. RNAcentral's name for it is "bacterial SSU rRNA". It matches the Rfam family "Bacterial small subunit ribosomal RNA", at positions 354 to 796 of the family's 1533-position model. The record is from RNAcentral.